GUGCUCGCUUCAGCAGCACAUAUACUAAAAUUGGAACAAUACAGAAAAGAUUAGCAUGGCCCCUGUGCAAGGAUGACAUGCAAAUUCAUGAAGCAUUUAAUAUUAAA
Molecule: small nuclear RNA, 107 nt
Organism: Nomascus leucogenys (northern white-cheeked gibbon)
Lineage: Eukaryota; Metazoa; Chordata; Mammalia; Primates; Hylobatidae
Source: Ensembl